Non-coding RNA from Callithrix jacchus (white-tufted-ear marmoset), 15735 nucleotides. NCBI's taxonomy places the organism in Eukaryota, Metazoa, Chordata, Mammalia, Primates, Cebidae. The record is from RefSeq and is a predicted model, not a curated record.
AUUUCUCGGAAUUUAGCUUGCUGCUAGAUAUUCAAAUCAUAUAUUUUUAAUGACAAGAAAGAUGCUAAAACUUUCUAGAUGACAGUGGGGGGUACCAUACAAAGAAUGCCCUAGCCCUGUUUCCUAGGAUGUCCAGAUAAGUUGGAGGUAUUGUCUCUUGUUUCUCAAAGCUUGAACCUUUUCUGGCUCUAACUUAGGUGUGGAUUGGGAGUAGAAGAGAAGGCUGCUGAAGCAAUGAAGUUUUAGAAACCAGAGUUAUUUGGAAGAAUUGACUCUGAGCGCAAAAUACUCACUGGCACAAAGCCAACACGAUAACCACUGUACGUAGGAAAUGACUUACUGAAGUGCAUACGCAGAACUAGGCCAGGAGAGUGUGUGUGUGUGUGUGUGUGUGUGUGUGUGUGUGUGUGUGUGUAUACUAGCUAGUCAUGUUAGCAACCACUUUAAAUUCUGAGGACGGAUAGCCACUAAUUCCGGUGUACAUAGGCACAAGUACUUGAGCGAAAACAGUCUAUUAUAAAGCAUAACUUCAAAAAAAGCUCUAAGCAGUCUAUGAAGAUAGGAGUAAGUCUUACACAGAUUGGGUUUGCCUAUUCUUCAUACCAAAUCCUUGAUUCUGAUACUCAGUUACAGGUCACCCACCCAAGCACCUUGAUAUGUAGACACAAGUAGGCGUUCUUUACUUCUGGAUUUGAAAAGAUGACAAAGGGAUUGAGUGGGAAUGAUUAAUUUCAUACUGGGGAAUGAUGAUUGCUGGUUAUAUCACUUACCACACAAUAGAGGUAUUUAAAUGUAACAGCUGUAACCAGCAUAGGAUGGAAUGCUGAUAUCAGACUUAGGUGAUAAGCUUAAAUUGGCAUUGGAAAAGAAGUUUCCAGCUUCGUAUUUCAGUGUAGUCCAGAUUUUUCGACCCCUGAUACUGCUGAUCCUUCUCAGUUAAGGAAGCUUGGUCUCACAUUAUCUGUUUUGAGAGCUCACCAUAUCAUUGUAGAGGUUUCAUGUCAUCCAGUGGAAGUCCUUACAUCUGACAUAAUCAGAUAUGUCUGGAUAAAAACUAGUUGGCCAGAUGCGGUGGCUCACACCUGUAAUCCCAGCACUUUGGGAGGCUAGGGCAGGUGGAUCAUGAGGUCAGGAGUUUGAGACCAGCCUGACCAACGUGGUGAAACCCAGUCUCUACUAAAAAUACAAAAAUUAGCUGGGCAUGGUGGUAUGCACCUGUAAUCCCAGCUACUCAGGAGGCUGAGGCAGGAGACUCGCUUGAACCCAGGAGGCAGAGGUUGUGGUGAGCCAAGAGCAUGCCACAGGACUCCAGCCUGGACAACAGAGCAAGACUCCAUCUCCACCACCCCCCAAAAAAACUAGUUCGUCUAGCUAAAAAAAAGUUAUUUGAGUUAUACAUUUUGAAUUUUUUAAAUCUCAACUUAAAAGUCCACUCAUUUUCUAGUCUUUGGGAAAAGCAGAGUCAAAGCCUUGUCCUGAGUAUGGUGCCACUGUUAGAUUUUUUUUUCUGUAUCACUAGAACAAGCGGAAUCAAUAAUGCAUUAUUCAGUAUUUCCAGUUUUUGUCUCUUAAAAAUAGCCAGAGACCUUUGCAUUCAAACAUGUGCAAAAAAGUGCAGCUCCUCCUAGACUCUUGGAAUUUGCUUGAAUCUUCUGCCAUUGUCUCCCCCACAUCUAAUCCAAUAGCUGAUUUUUUUCAUCUUUUGUGUGACUUGCUUUUAUUUAGCCUUUCCAAAGCAUUCAUCUUACUCAAUUAGCCACUUAAGAAAUACCAGGUUUGGUCUUGUCCUCCAUUUAAUCAAUUAAGAUUUUGUUGAAUUAUUUGAUGAUAAUCCACUGAGCUGCUGGGGUGGAAGUGUUUGGAAAGUGCACACUGGUUUUCUAGAAGCACUUGGUGGGCCAUGGGCAUCUAGUGAUAUGUUUUACAGAGAAAAAGCUGAUUAUUUUCAAGAAGUCCUUGGCGUUACAUGUGCACAUGUCCAACACUAACUUUAUUGAAUGGAGUUUUGUUCAAUUGCUCACUACCUCGAUGUAUUUGACAAAAUGCCUACUGUCUGCCAUGUUAACCCUGACAAUUUCUUUUGUCAGUUUUCUCAGCUUUGCAGCAUUCUUGCUAAAACAACAAAAACCCACUCUGUCUAGCUAUAUUCUUUCUGAUAUAGAGAGCUAUUACGGAGGAUUAUAUUAUAUACCCUUUUGACAAGAAGAAACAUUUCAUGAUUGAAGGCUGAGCUGGACAGUGGUCCCUGGAAGCAUGAGUAGUUUCCUGGACCCUCUUGUGUAAUGUGUAAUGAACCUGUACAAGUGCUUCAUCUUGGGCCCAGCUUUAAGGGAACCAAGCUCUCCUGAGAUGAGGAUGUAUGGGGCAAGUAAAGAAGGCCUGUUCUCAUUAACUGUGCGAAACCUGAAGAGUGAGAAGCAGGACGAUGCAGAAAGAAGCUGAGAAAGAAUGUGGCUUCAGGUGAAGGUUCAGCCCGAACCCAGGGGAACGCUGGACUACACUGUGUUUCUUGCCUUGAAGCCACCACUGGGGCAGGGAGUCUCGAAGCAAUGUAACCGGAGAACUGCAGCUUCUAUCAUCCCAGUGCAAUCCUCCAAAGAAAGAUGAAGUUAUGUGAGCAGGUAGCGGCAGCUAAGCAACGCAUGCAUGAAAACUAUAUCAAUAAAAGCAGCAAAAGGAAACCUAGGUAGAUGAUUAACUGCAAAUUCACAGAAUAUCAGAUAGCAAACGUGUGGUAUUUUUAAAAUAACUACCUUUUUUUUCCAAAGGUUUUUUGAUUUGCAAUUGGUUAAGGAAGAGAAGCUUUAAAUAACUACUUUUACGGGACCCAACUUAUGAGAAUCCCUAAAUUUUCUGGGUUUCUCUUGUCUCUUGGGUCCUCAACUGGUUAGACAAAAAAAGAGACCAGGCCCAAUUUCCAGAUUUCACCAGCUGACCCGUCUUCCCUGGGGAGGCCAUGUUCAGCAUGUCCUCCAUUAUGCCUACCAGCACGGGAAGUGCAGCGGCUGCAGAGUCCAGACGUGACCCAAGGAAACUCAGACGGCAGGUUCACCUUUCCUGUGUUUCCAGACUCAAGCACAAAGCAUCAUGCAGUUAAAAUGUCAUUCAGUGAGGCAUGGCAUUUGGCUUUUGUAGUGGUUGUCCCAAGGGGCCAGAUGCACAACCAGGAAGAACACAGGAGUUAAUGCCUGUGGGGGGAACUUUUACCAGUGGGAGGCAACUUACAGAUAAAUUCCUUUUGUUCUUUUCCUCUGAUGGAUUGUUGGGAGCUGCUGUGGUUCUUGAGAGCAUGUCUAGAGAUUGUCCCUUGUGACUGAGCAAGUGGCUCUAUUUUCCUUUCUGAAGCUGUGGCUGGCAAAUCUGCUUUCCGUUCCUCCUCGUGUCCGCGUUCCACUCUUCCUCGUGCCCGCUUUCCAUUCUUCCUUGUUUCACCUCCCCUUUCCCUUCAGUCUCCCUGCCCUGCCAUUGCACCUCUUUACCUACCCAACGCGUGUUAGCACAUCAUCUUAGCCUGAUUUCCAAAAUAAACAACAAAAACAGAAACAUACCAAAACAGAACUGAAGGCAAAGACAGUGCCCCUAGAGAUGGAAGUUUCAGUACAUGUGUAAGUCCCCUACGUGGUGGAAUUUCACUGUAGAACAUCAGGAGAGAGGUUAUGGGUAAAUAGAGAGUAAUCCUGAUAUUGUUCUUUUGUUCUUUUUCUAUCUAAACCAUCAAUCCUAUUAAAGUCCAAGUGAAUGCUGAGGAGCAGCUCCAGGAUGCUACAAAGAGUUUUACUUUGUUAAGAGUCUUUUACAAUAGCAAAGACCUGGAACCAACCCAAAUGCCCAUCGAUGAUAGACUGGAUUGGGAAAAUGUGGCACCUAUAUACCAUGGAAUAUUAUGCAGCAAUCAAAAAUGUUGAGUUCGUGUCCUUUGUAGGGACAUGGAUGAAUCUGGAGAACAUCAUUCUCAGCAAACUGACACAAGAACAGAAAAUGAAACACCGCAUAUUCUCACUCAUAGGCGGGUGAUGAACAAUGAGAACACAUGGACACAGGGAGGGGAGCACUACACACUGGGGUCUAUUGGGGGGAAUAGGGGAGGGACAGCGGGGGGGCAGAGCUGGGGAGGGAUAGCAUGGGAAGAAAUGCCAAAUGUGGGUGAAGGGGUUGGAAGGCAGCAAAACACACUGCCAUGUGUGUACCUAUGCAACUGUCUCUCAUGUUCUGCUCAUGUCCCCCAAACCUAAAACACAAUAAAAAAUUAAAUAAAUAAAUAAAUAAAAAUAAAGAGUCUUUUACAAACUAGCUCAGCACAGCAAGUAAAACAAUGCAGAGGAGAAUGUAGCACCUAGAAGCUGCAUUUCCUCAAAGGAAUACAGAACAUUUGUGAACUGGCGUGCUGAUGAUAGUGAUGCAAAACAUUCUUCUUUUUCAAAAAAGAGAAUCAACUUGUUCUGUGGCUCUGGCCAGAUUGAGACCAGCAGUUAUGAGGCCAGAACUAGUCUUUUUAAAACAAUAUUGACAGAUAACAUAUAUUUUUACUGUGUACAACAUGAUGUCGUAAGAUACAUACACAUUAUGGAAUGAUUUUGAGUGUUACUGAUGUGCAGGCUAGAGAAUCUGUCCCAACUGCAAGUGAUGUUGCCAUCAUCAUUGUCACAAUUAGUACUGAUGGCUGUGGUCGAUUUAGUCUGUAGCUAUCGAGAUGGGUGGUAUGGGGUAGUUGUUCUGUUUUUGCUAUUUUAUGCUUGUAGAAAUGGUCUCAAUUUUCUCUUCUGAUUAGUCUUAGCAUAUGGGUUUCUUUUUUGCCAUAUUCUACUGCAGAGGCUGCCUCUCUCUGCCUUUCUCCCUCACAUCUGGAAUCCAGCCAAAAUGUACUAGAACAAGAUGCUUCUCACAUUUCAGCCCUUUUGUAAGGGUGCUGAUUGCAACUUGGGUAACUUCAGUAUAAUCUAAGGUGGAAGCUUUCUGCUUAUUUUGAGGAAAAAAAAUAAAUGUCUAAAAAUAAAACGUAGGCAUAAAAAUAGGGCCAAAUACUCAUUAACUGCCUCACUUAGCUGAAUGCUGAAAUUAUUUCAACAGCGCUAAAUCAAGCCUUUGUGUGGAAGAGGCUGGGUAUUUUUUUAAAUUUGUAGUAUUUUAUCUUAGAUGAUAAAUGAGUUACUGUAAUUUGUCAUUUUAUUCAAAACUUGAAUUAAAUAGUCCUCAAAGCCUCCAUUUUCAGCUUGUGCUCAUGCGGACCCUUGAAUUAGAGCACUUGUGUUCACAAGUCUCCUGGAAUAUAUUCUGUGGGCUGCCGUGGGAAAGGUUGGGGUGACAGACAGGACCAGGAGCCGGAGUAUCCAGGGCUUGGGAUGCUGGGGUUAAGAAUUUGGAUCUUAUUCUAAGUGUGGUGGGAAGCCACUGGAGGGAUUGAAUUAUGAGGAUAUUAUAGAAUGACUUCUAUUUUCAAAGUGUGACUCCUGACUGCUGUACUGAUAGUAGAUUGGAAGGAGACAACAGUAGGAAAAGGGUAACUAGCCAAAUGCCUAUUUGUAGAUAUCCAGGUAAGUGAUGGUGGCUUUGGAGCAGGAUGGUAAUAGUAGAGUUGGAGAGAAGUGGACAAAUAAUGGAGUUUAUCUAAUUCAUUAACAACAACAAAAAGAUUGAUUAAUAGAUUAGAUAUGGGGCGUGAGAGAAUGGAAGAGUCAGGAUUGAUUCCUAAGUUUCUGGCCCAAACAACCGGAAGAAUUUGGUACUAGUUAUUGAGAUGAAGACUGGAGGAAGAAGAGGAUACUUUUUUGCUGUUUUGCUGUGUUGAGGGUGGGUCAUAGAGCAAUGGAAAAGGGAAUGAGCUGGAAGUAAGGGCUCAUGUUAAUUUUGGGCAUCUAAAUGAACCGUUCAGAAGAACAGUUGAAUGUAUGAACUUGACCCAGUAGAUACGUUUGAGAAUCCUUGAUGUGAAAAUUACAUUCAGUCAUGAGACAAACUCGCCUAAGGAGAGAGUAGAGAGAAAGUAAAACACCUGAGAACAUUCCAUAUUUCCACAUAAAUAGGGCAAGCAGAAGAGAACCCAUAACGGACUAAGAAGGAACAGCAGUGAAGAAGGAAAAACUAGGAGAGUCUGAUGUUCCGGAAACCAAGAGAAGACUCUUAACAAAGGAAGCAUGACUAAUAUGUCCUGCACAAGACAUGAAGGCACAGAGUGUACUGCCUUUCUUCCUCAUUCUCACAUCAUCUCUGAGUGGAUUUCAAGACACAUUCCUUCUGGCUUUCUUCAGCAAUAUUUAUGUGAAUGAACAAACCGUCGUUGGAAGACUUGAUGGAGAUGUAAUCCUCCCUUCCUCAUUUGAGAGUGGAUCUGAAGUGGUAAUACACUGGAAGGAUCAAGAUAGCUACAACGUUCACAGUUACUUCAAAGGCAGUGACUAUUUGGACAACCAAGAUCCCAGAUAUGCAAACAGGACGUCCCUUUUCUAUAAUGAGAUUCAAAAUGGGAAUGCAUCUCUAUUUUUCAGAAGAUUAAGCCUUCUGGAUGAUGGAAUUUAUACCUGCUAUGUAGGAACAAAACAAAGCAUUACAAACAAAGUGGUGCUCAAGGUGGGAGUUUUCCUCACACCCGUGGCGAAGUAUGAAAAGAAGAACACAUAUAGCUUCUUAAUAUGCAGCGUGUUAUGUGUUCACCCUCGUCCAGUUAUCACGUGGAAAAUGGACAACACACCUAUCCCUGAAAACAAGAGGGAAGAAACAGGGUCUUUGGGCCCUUUUUCUGUUAACAGCACACUGAAUGUUACAGGAUCAAAUUCAUCUUAUGAAUGUACAAUCGAAAAUUCACUGCUGAACCAAACAUGGACAGGGCGCUGGACAAUGAAAGAUGGCCUUCAUAAAAUGCAAAGUGAAAACGUUUCACUCUCGUGUCAACUUGUAAAUGAUUAUUUUUCACCAAACCAAGACUUCAAAGUUACUUGGUCCAGAGUGGGAAGUGGGACUUUCUCUGUCCUGGCUUGCUAUCUGAGCUCCUCACAGAAUACAACUAUCAAUGAACCCCGAUUCUCAUGGAACAAAGAGCUGAUAAACCAGGGUGACUUCUCCAUGAAUUUGAUGCAUCUUCAUCUUUCAGACAGUGGGGAAUAUUUAUGCAAUAUUUCUUCAGAUGAAUAUACUUUACUCACCAUCCACACAGUGCACGUAGAAUCAAGCCAAGAAACAGCUUCCUGUGACAAAGGUUUACAGAUUUUGGUGUCCUGUCUGAUUUCGGCAGUUCCCGUAGCUCUUCUGAUUUUGGCAGCUCUUCGGAUUUAUCUGGUACAACUUUGCAGAGAAAGAGAUCCUGUCUGUGCUGAUGCGAGAGCUACCAAUGCAUCUGGUAAUGAAAAUGAGAGCAUGCCCCUUUCAGGAUGUCCAGCCAGUACAGGAAAUGAGACAGGACAAAACCGUGACAACUCAUGACAAGCAUCCUCCAUAUCCAGUGCUUCAUCUCCCCUUUCUUCACUGCAAUUCCAGGCAAUGGCCUGUCAGACUGGACAAUUCUACCACUGCAAAGACUUGUAACCGUUUUCUAGUAUCAGAUUUAUUUUUCAAGACAUAAGGAUCAUUCGCUGACCCACUACCUGCAUUGAGUAUAAAUGCCUGGAUAUUAAGGAUUCCAAUUUAACGUCGAAAGGAGCUGUCUCAUUCAUUUACAUUCCCAUUGCAGUCAGCCCAGGAGGUUACAGUGAGCUGUCCACUAAGAAUCGGAAGAAAUGCAUCGCUAGGCUGAUUCCCAAUCUGAUCAACUGAUAAUGGGUGAGAGAGCAGCUGUUGUCCUUUCAAAGCAGGGGAUGCUUAUUCUUUUUGAACCUGAAAAACAGAAUGUCAGUGUGUUCUGUGAAUUUCCUGUGAUUUUCACCAGUGGAACACAUGCCCAGAACCAAGCUGAGUCCUUUCCAGAGCUUUUAAAGAUGGGGAGGAGAUCCAAGAUGGCCAAACAGGAACAGCUCUGGAGUGAAGUUCCCAGCGAGAAGAAUGCAGAAGGUGAGUGAUCACUGCAUUUCCAAACAAGUUUUACUGCCCACAGACCAGGAGAUGCCAGGCUGAAAAGUGCCAUGAGUUUCCAGCACAGCUGUUUCAGCUGGUGUUGCUGCUCUCUGCACAAAACUCACACAAAUCCAGGUGGCUGUUUCAACAGGCUCCUGGAAUGCCUGGGAUAUAGAGUUGCCCAUUCAAUGGAAAAAAGGGGGCUGAAACAGGGAGCCAGGUGAUCUGGCUCAGCGGGUCCCACUCCCAACAAAGACCAGCAAUCUGAAACGCUCUGGAUUGAGAGUUUCACAGCAAGGGCAGCUGGACCCGGGACAGUCCAGCUUGAUGGGGGGGAAGGGCAUGAGCCAUUACCAAGGCAGUCUACCUUUACUGAGGCAGACCACCAUUACCGAGGCAAUCUGCCUUUACUGAGGCAGUCUGCCAUUACCGAGGCAGUUCUAACAGGAAGUUCAUGUAGCAGCUGGGCAGAGCCCGCAGCAACUCAGUAAUGUCUCUGCUGGCAGACUGUGGCUAGACUACCAGCUUGCUGGGCAGGGCAUCUCUGAAAAAAGGCAGCAGCAUGUCAGGAACUUAUAAAUAAAAGCUUCACCAUCCCAGGACACAGCACCUGGGGAAAAAGGCAUUUAUGAGUUCCACUGCAGCAGACUUAAAUGUAUCUUCCCAGAAGCUCUGAAGAGAACAAUGGAUCUCCCAGAUCAGCACUUGAACUCCUAUAAGAAACAGACUGUCUCCUUUAUCAGCUCCCUGACCCCUGUAUAUCCAAAGAGAGACCUCAUAAAGGAAAGCUCAGACAGACAUCUGGCAGGUACCCUUCUAGGAUGAAGAUAACAGAAGAGAAACUGGUAGCAACCCUCACUGUUCUUCAGCCCCCAUGGGUGAUCCCCAGGCAAGCAGGGUCUGGAGUGGACCUCCAGCAGGCCUACAGCAGAGGGGCCUGACAGAAAAAACUAAGAAACAGAAAGAAAUAACUUCAACAUCAACAAAAAGGAUGUCCACUCAGAGACCCCAUCUGAAAGUCACCAACUACAAAUACCACAGUUAGAUAAAUCCAUAAAGACGGGAAGAAAGCAGAGCAAAAAGGUUGAAAACACCAAAACCCAGAAUGCCUCUCCUCCUCCAAGGGAACACAACUCUUCACCAGGAAGGGAACAAAGCUGGAUGGAGAAUGAGUCUGAUAAAUUGACAGAAACAGGCUUCAGAAGGUGGGUAAUAACAAACUUUUCUGAACGAAAAGAACAUGCUCUAACCCAAUGCAAAGAAACUAAGAAACUCGAAAAAAGGUUUCAAGAAAUGCUAAUGACAAUAAACAACUGAGAGAAGAAUAUAAAUGACUUGAUGUGGUGCUGAAAAACACAAGAGAACUUCACGAAGCAUAUGCAAGUUUCAAUAGCCGAACUGACCAAGCAGAAGAAAGGAUAUCACAGAUUGAAGAUCAACUCAAUGAAAUAAAAUGAGAAGGCAAUUCUCUCCGUCACAUUCAGGUACACCUACAUUUGAUACCUAUCAAAAAUGAUACCUAGCAAAAAUGUAGGUAUACCUGAACGUGACAGAGAGAAUAAAUCCAAGCUGGAAAAUACUCUUCAGGAUAUUAUCCAGGAGAACUUCCCCAACCUAGCAAGGCAGGCCAAUAUUCAAGUCUAGGAAAUUACAGAGAACAUCACAAAGAUAUUUCUCAAGAAGAGCAACCACAAGGCACAUAAUCAUCAGAUUCACCAGGGUUGAAAUGAAGGAGAUAAUGCUAAGGGCAGCCAGAGAGAAAGCUCAGGUUACCCACAAAGGGAAGCCCAUCAGACUCACAGCAGAUCUCUCUGCAGAAACCCUACAAGCCAGAAGAGAGUGGGGGCCAAUAUUCAACAUCCUUAAAGAAAAGAACUUUACCUAGAAUUUCAUAUCCAGCCAAACUAAGUUUCAUAAGCAAAGGAGAAAAAAAUCCUUUACCAAGAAGCAAUUGCUCAGAGAUUUCAUCACCACCAGGCAUGUUUUACAAGAGCUCCUGAAAGAAGCACUAAACAUAGAAAGGAACAACCAGUACCAGCCACUCCAAAAACCUACCAAAUGGUAAAAAGGAUUGACACAAUGAAGAAACUGCAUCAACUAACGGGCAAAACAGCCACCUAACAUCAAAAUGCCAGAAUUAAAUUCACACAUAACAAUAUUAACCCUAAAUGUCAAUGGGCUAAAUGUACCAAUCAAAAGACACAGACUGGAAAAUUGGAUAAAAAGCCAAAACCCAUUGGUGUGCUAUAUCCAGGAAACCCAUCUUACAUGCAAGGAUACACAUAGGCUUAAAAUAAAGGGAUGGAGGAUGAUUUACCAAGCAAAUGGAGAGCAAAAAAAAAGCAGGAGUUGCAAUUCUCAUCUCUGAUAAAAUACUUUAAGCCAACAAAGAUCAAAAGAAGGACAUUAUAUAAUGGUAAAAGAAUCAAUGCAAUGAGAAGAGCUAACAAUCCUAAAUAUAUACACACCCAAUACAGGAGCACCCAGUUACAUAAAGCACUGGUCAUUAGAGAAAUGCAAAUCAAAACCACAUUAAGAUACCAUCUCACACCAGUUAGAAUGGUGAUCAUUAAAAAAUCUGGAGACAACAGAUGCUGGAGAGGAUGCAGAGAAAUAGGAACACUUUUACACUGUUGGUGGGAGUAUAAAUUAAUUCAACCAUUGUGGAAGACAGUGUGGUGAUUCCUCAAGGAUCUCGAAAUGAAAAUUCCAUUUGACCCAGCAAUCCCAUUACUGUGUAUAUAUCCAAAGGAUUAUAAAUCGUUCUAUUUUAAAGUCACAUGUACAUGUAUGUUCAUUGCAGCACUGUUUACAAUAGCAAAGACCUGGAACCAACCCAAAUGUGCAUCAAUAAUAGACUGGACAGGGAAAAUGUGGCACAUAUACACCAUGGAAUACUAUGCAGCCAUAAAAAACGAUGAGUUCAUGUCCUUCACAGGGACAUAGAUGAAUCUGGAAACCAUCAUUCUCAGCAAACUGACCCACAUGUUCUCACUCAUAAGCGGAUGUUGAACAAUGAGAACACGUGGACACAGGGAGGGGAGCAUCACACACUGUGGUGUGUUGGGGGAGAGUAGGGAGGGACAGUAUAGAGUAGAGAGGUUGGGGAGGGAUAACAUGGUGAGAAAUGCCAGAUAUAGGUGAUGGGGAUGGAGGCAGCAAACCACAUUGCCAUGUAUGUACCUAUGCAACAAUUCUGCAUGAUCUGCACAUGUACCCCAGAACCUAAAGUAAUCAUAUAUACAUACAUAUAUAUAUAUAUAUAUACUUAUUUAUUUAUUUGCAGGAAAAAGAAAAGCUUUCAAAGAGAAAAACAAAUUUCUCAUUCAUGCAAUGACAUCAGCCCUAAACAAACAUGAUUUAAGACUUAGAAUAGAGUUGAACACCUGCCAUACCUUUUUUCCAAACUCUCUUGCUUUAAUCUUGAGUUUAUUGACUUGAGAUUCUGCCACCUCUGCCCUUUCCUUCACUUCAUUCAACUCAUGUUGCUGCUUCUUGUACUUGGAUAGGUAUUGAUUGGCUUGUGCUUCCUAUAAAAAUAAUAAAGAAAUCUCCAUGCCUAUCUAGUCAGUUUUUUUUUCUGUUCUGACAUGAGAACGUUGAAUAAUGUGAAAAGAAUCUAAACUUCUCAGUAUGGAAUGAGAGAUCUUUUUUUGGUAUGAUACAUUGGGAUUCAGACUUUCUAGCAGACAUAAAAUCCAUUUUUUGGUAACUUUUGUUCCCUGGAAAUUCAGAACCUAGUUAGCACUUUUCAUAACUGGACACAGCAGAGCUCUCACCGAAGGAAUAACCACAGCUGUUUCAUCAUCAGUUUAACAUCCUAUUCUACCUCUGAGUAGAGAGGGCUUGUGUUUAAAAUUAUAUGGGUCAACAGGUAAUUAUUAGACCUUGGGCUAGAACAGGUAGUGUUUUAGGCCAAACCACUGAAAUAAUUAAAAUGCCUCAAGAGUGAAUACUAAGGAUAGAUCAAUACGUGUGGCACUUAUCAAUCCCCUGUAGCUAUAGAUUCUGAUCCAGGGAUGGCAAGUACGUUUCAAUUUAUGGGUUUUGUCCACAACUGUAUCCAGGACCAUCAAGAACAAAUACUGUGAACCACGUUUAUGUUCACCCAAGGUUUUGGGGUGAGGGAGGUCCCACGGUGGACUACCUUGCCAAAAACUGGCCUUCUCUACAGGACCCCCGACUUUUCCAUGGCUUAUGUCUUGCAGUGUGCCUGUUUGGAUGAAGCCACAGAGGUAAAGGAGAAAGCUGUGGCUUCCCGGAGGGAAAAGCCAUACGCGUUAUUGCCACGGGUGAGAAUUCUAACUUAAGGAGAAAAACGAGAAUGGGCAGACUCUAAGCUGAGCUGGCCCUCUCUGACAAGCUGCUUGCUGAGUUCAGGGCCACAGAUCUCCCUUAAUCAAAACAACGCUGGGAAAUCCAUGACGCUCCAACGUCCCCAGGCACUCACCGCCACCUCGACUUGCUGCUUGUAAUUUUGUACUUUCAGCUGAAGUGUAUCCAUCUGAAUUUGCAUCCUGCUCAGAUUCUUCUUGUCUUCCUCUGCCUGCAAUGCAUAGCCAUGUAUGGGAAGGUGAUUCAGAAGACCCAGCUGUCUACAUUGGGAUAGCCUCAUGUUGGGAAAUAAAGGUUAGGGAACUUUAUUAAACUUCAUCUCAGAGUUGUGAUUUUAAAAAUGGGUUUAACUCACCCAAGUUCCAAGAAAUUAAUAAAUAGAACAGUCAGCUCUAACCGUCAUUUGUCCUGAUCCACCAACCUUUGCUGAAAUGAGAGUUAAAGCCGUUAGGCUCUGUUUGGUCUUCAGUCUUUCCAGCUCAACCAAGCUGUAUCUGCAUACUUAAAAUGAGUAAUUAAUUAUCUACUGCUAUAUUGUACUUUAAGGUGGUGGGGCAGUGCAUUCCAGAUGAUAAGAACAGCUUUAGCUGUAGCUAAAUCAAAAGCUAUAUAUUUAGCAGGAAUGAACUGCAUUAUUAUAAAAGCCACAUAUUCAAAACUGAAAAACAGUUGCUCCCCAUUCAAAACAACUCUUCCUUUAAACUUGCUAAUUGACUCUUGGCUUUUCAUAAUGGAACACUUCUGACGCAGGCAUCAGCAGACACAGCAAAGAAGAUUCCACAAACUGUGGGAAGCUUGGUGUGCCCAUUCUUGCUGCCUCAAUUACAAUUCAGCCUUGGGCUGGAGAGAGGAAGUCUGGUGGGAUACUGUUUCUCAGCUGUGCCCCACAGAGCCUUCGGUAUUCCAGGGAGAAAGGAGGAUGGAUGCAGGCAGGUACAUAGGGCUCUGCCUGCUCCCUCUUUCCUCACACCCCUUUAACUGGAGUAUUGCCAUGUUAGCGCUAUUGAACUUUUCAAAGGAAGAAAAUAUCUCAAUUUGCUCAGGGUUGAGAAGCUGAUUCAAUCAAGAAAGAUCUCCUGCUGCUGCUUAAACUUUUUGCUGGCUCCCUUUGACCUAUUCCAUCAGGUAUCAACUUUUUUGGCAGCUUUCAUGUUCCCCCUACUUACCUUCCAUUCCCCGAGCACCACAAACCCAUUACAGCCAGGUCACAUUCCCCUGCUUCCCCAGAGCUCCUGCUUAUUCUGUCCUCCUUAGGUUUAGCUAAGCUGUUCUCAUCAUCUGGAAUGCACGCACCCCCCUUAAAGUACCAUAUGGAAGUAGAUAUUAAUAAUUACUAAUAUUAAGCAUUGGGAGGCAGGGAUAAAUAUAUAUGAAAGAACCUAGUUGGGGAGCUGAGACAAGUCUGGUUCAAAUAAAACCCCUUCUUUGUUUUUAUCUGCCUAUCCCUCUACUUGUCAGGUUUAUAAAAUUCAAAGAUUCAUAGCAGUAUGUGCUUACAGUAAAUUCUAAAAUCAAUAUUGAAUUGCCAAUAAUCAGUUCACUGAGAGGAGAGUAAACUGGUGGUAAAGGAGGCCACUGAGAAGAAAAGUGGAAAAAGCUAGAAGUGGUUGCUGACGUUACUGACCUUCCUCCCGCUCGGGAAGGCAAAGCCAUUGACGUUAGACCUAGGUUCCCGUCUCAGCUCUGCGGCAUUGAGUAACUGAGGUCAUGGCUAUGCACUUCCUAGAUUUCCCUUCAAGAAAAUAAGUUGCCAUUCAGCCGUGAGAAGUGCAGUUACCUGAUAACCUCCAACUGCAGUGCCUUUGGGACCUGCCACAACAUUAGCACCGAGGCCACACACUUCCCAGGCAACCCCCAGGCAAUAGCUGGGCAUAGUGGAGUCACUAGAGUCUGGCCAUUUCUGCCCAACAUGGGCGUCCUUUCUGGGUAACCUUUGUGUUGGAGACUUGCCCAGAGCUGCGCUACAGUCUGAGGCUCUUCCCAUCUCCUCUUCCUCCCUCAGCCUGGCCGUUUACGUCUCUGCCCCAUCCUGCUUGCUUACAUCUUCAUCUUUUGUAGAUGUGACUUCUGAUAGAUCUCCUGUACAUCUAACUCUAUCCUGGCGUUUGGUUCUGAGAGAACACUUUCAACACAGCAAGUUAACCAAAUUGUAUGUCCUUGUCCCUAAAAAUGAUACUAUAUUAUCGAUAGAUGUGUAAAGAUUAAAUAUUACCUACACAGAUUUCUGUGUAGGAUGUAGGAGGCAGUUGAUGGGAGAACCUAGCAGGUGGGUGGAGAGUGAGGGGCAGAGGAACUAUCUUGACCUUCUAUAGUAAUUACAAGUACUUAAUCUUAUGUUCUGCUUUAUAGCACAUUUUUCUAGGUGCUAGAGACAGAGAAAUAGACAAGUUUCCAAAUGCUAGGGGGAUAUAAAGGAGAGGGUAAAUGCCGCGUGGGGAUCAGCCAUAGAACUGCCAUGGAGUGGGGUCACACUUGACUCCUUUCCAGAGUAGAAUCUUCCCAGAGGACUUUUCCUAAGAAAACCUUAGUUGUGUCCCUUUCAAAAUGACAUUUUUAAUUGUACCUAGGAAUGGGCUUUCACCAAACACCCUGCCUCCUUGGUUAUUUUGGUGGUUAUUUGGUGGUUAUUUUGAUGAUUGAAUUGACUCAGCAUUAACCUUUAACAUUUUCAAACCAAGUAACAGGAAAUGUGGUGUCCUCUAAUGUCUCUUUAAACUUAGAGGCGUUAGCCUAAUAGAUAUUAGCUGAUUUGAUGGCAGAAAACACUUGGAAGAAAUUAAUCAAUGCACCUCGUGCUAGUACAUGAGAAACGCUAUGAUUACUACAAUGAAGAAACAGAAGGAAGACACGAUAGAACAAGAAUGCAUUCCAUGGGACAAUGAAAACCAAAAAAAUAUAACCUUGGUUUUUUUGUUCUAUAAUGAAGUUGUUUACAGAACAAAACAAUAUUAAUAAUCAAUGGGAAAAUACAAAGAAGAAAAAGCCAGACAUGAAAGCAGUAUUUCAGUCCAUCAACGUGGGUGGCUUCUCCACCCUCCUCAAAAGAAGAGUAGAAUUGCAACCCUUUAUGUUCCCAAGGUGUUUACUUACUUAGCCACACAGACCAUGGGCCCAGUCCUCACUGGCUUUGAUAGACCUAGCAUGGUCUAAAGAAGUGUCAGACCAACUCAUCUUACAAAAGGAGCCACUUCAUAAUAAAAGAGCUGUGCAAGUAGCUCAUUUCAUCUUAAUUAGCCCAAGAUGAUGCUUCUGAAUUGCUGUGCCUUCUUAUCUAUCCUUUCUGCUGCAAGGGAAGAAGAUUUUGACAUCUCUAACAACCCAGCCUCAGGAACCAGAAUGAGGACUGGCAGAUCUUUCAUUGGAAUUGUCGAAGAAGCUGUAAAAAUGGGUGCCUAAAAUGAAUUCGCCUCUGUAUUGGAA